Molecule: non-coding RNA, 106 nt
Organism: Xylogone sp. PMI_703
Lineage: Eukaryota; Fungi; Ascomycota; Leotiomycetes
Source: the annotation of a GenBank genome assembly
AACUUUCCCCAAGUGGUUAGAGCGUUGGUCUCAUAUUAUCCAUAUGAAAAGACUGUCAACGGUCUUGGCCAUCCAAAGGUCGUGAGUUCGAGUCUCACCGAGGACA